Molecule: ribosomal RNA, 261 nt
Filed under: uncultured archaeon
Lineage: Archaea
Description: partial 16S ribosomal RNA
Rfam family: Archaeal small subunit ribosomal RNA
Source: RNAcentral
CAGCCGUAAACAAUGUGCGUUAGGUGUGUCGGUAAUCACGUGUUACUGAUGCGCCGAAGAGAAAUCGUGAAACGCACCACCUGGGAAGUACGGUCGCAAGGCUGAAACUUAAAGGAAUUGGCGGGGGAGCACCACAACAGGUGGAGCCUGCGGUUUAAUUGGAUUCAACGCCGGACAUCUCACCGGAUAAGACAGCUGAAUGAUUGUCAAUCUGAAGGUUUUACAUGACUAGCUGAGAGGAGGUGCAUGGCGUCAGUGACU